RNAcentral lists this ribosomal RNA (301 nucleotides) under uncultured bacterium. Its description in RNAcentral is "partial 16S ribosomal RNA". It matches the Rfam family "Bacterial small subunit ribosomal RNA", at positions 509 to 807 of the family's 1533-position model. The record is from RNAcentral.
CAGCAGCCACGGUAAUACGAACCGUGCGAACGUUAUUCGGAAUCACUGGGCUUAAAGCGCGUGUAGGCGGGCCGCCACGUCGGCUGCUGAAAUCCCCCGGCCCAACCGGGGAAGUGGCACCGAUACGAGCGGCCUCGAGGGGGGUAGGGGGCACUGGAACUUCCGGUGGAGCGGUGAAGUGCGUUGAGAUCGGAAGGAACGCCCGUGGCGAAAGCGAGUGCCUGGACCCUUUCUGACGCUGAGACGCGAAAGCCAGGGGAGCGAACGGGAUUAGAUACCCCCGUAGUCCCUGUCUCUUUAC